AUUUUUUUCAGAUUCUGGCAAGACAGAGAUCAACUUGGGCGCAAAUAGCAGCUUUGUCUGAGCAACGAACACCGUCUCUCGAUGGUCGGCGAUACAGGAGAAAAAAAAAAGCUUCAUUGAGCUGUUCUUGAUUUAGUGGUGGUAAGUUUUUUUUUUUUUUUGGGCAGAAAAAAAUGCAGAAACCCUAGACAGCGGGCACCAACCAAAGCCAUUUCCUUUCAGCUUUAUCUGCAUUGGAUCAAAAGCUUUUUGAGGGCUUGUCUUCUUCUAGAUCCAUUUGUGUAUCUUAUUUCGGUCUCGUUUUCUGUUUGUUUUUUUGCUUUUAAAUCCGUUCUCUGGAACCUCCGUAUUACAUUAUGCGACGUAUUUUGCUGUCGUUUUGAUGUCUC
Molecule: long non-coding RNA, 389 nt
Organism: Tarenaya hassleriana
Lineage: Eukaryota; Viridiplantae; Streptophyta; Magnoliopsida; Brassicales; Cleomaceae
Exons: 2
Source: RefSeq, a predicted model, not a curated record